Molecule: ribosomal RNA, 247 nt
Filed under: uncultured bacterium
Lineage: Bacteria
Description: partial 16S ribosomal RNA
Rfam family: Bacterial small subunit ribosomal RNA
Source: RNAcentral
AUACGGAGGGUGCAAGCGUUAUCCGGAUUCACUGGGUUUAAAGGGUGCGUAGGUGGGUAUGUAAGUCAGUGGUGAAAUCCCCGAGCUUAACUUGGGAACUGCCGUUGAUACUAUAUAUCUUGAAUGUCGUAGAGGUUAGCGGAAUAUGUCAUGUAGCGGUGAAAUGCUUAGAUAUGACAUAGAACACCAAUUGCGAAGGCAGCUAGCUAUGCGAUUAUUGACACUGAGGCACGAAAGCGUGGGUAGC